Molecule: ribosomal RNA, 497 nt
Filed under: uncultured bacterium
Lineage: Bacteria
Description: partial 16S ribosomal RNA
Rfam family: Bacterial small subunit ribosomal RNA
Source: RNAcentral
GAUGAACGCUGGCGGCGUGCCUAAUACAUGCAAGUCGAGCGAACAGACGAGGAGCUUGCUCCUCUGACGUUAGCGGCGGACGGGUGAGUAACACGUGGAUAACCUACCUAUAAGACUGGGAUAACUUCGGGAAACCGGAGCUAAUACCGGAUAAUAUAUUGAACCGCAUGGUUCAAUAGUGAAAGACGGUUUUGCUGUCACUUAUAGAUGGAUCCGCGCCGCAUUAGCUAGUUGGUAAGGUAACGGCUUACCAAGGCGACGAUGCGUAGCCGACCUGAGAGGGUGAUCGGCCACACUGGAACUGAGACACGGUCCAGACUCCUACGGGAGGCAGCAGUAGGGAAUCUUCCGCAAUGGGCGAAAGCCUGACGGAGCAACGCCGCGUGAGUGAUGAAGGUCUUCGGAUCGUAAAACUCUGUUAUUAGGGAAGAACAAAUGUGUAAGUAACUAUGCAAGUCUUGACGGUACCUAAUCAGAAAGCCACGGCUAACUACGUG